This 245-nucleotide ribosomal RNA is filed under the name uncultured bacterium. RNAcentral's name for it is "partial 16S ribosomal RNA". It matches the Rfam family "Bacterial small subunit ribosomal RNA", at positions 528 to 772 of the family's 1533-position model. The record is from RNAcentral.
UAGGUGGCAAGCGUUGUCCGGAUUUACUGGGUGUAAAGGGCGUGUAGGCGGGAAGACAGGUCAGAUGUGAAAUGUCGGGGCUCAACCCCGGAACUGCAUUUGAAACCGUUUUUCUUGAGUAUCGGAGAGGCAGGCGGAAUUCCUAGUGUAGCGGUGAAAUGCGUAGAUAUUAGGAGGAACACCAGUGGCGAAGGCGGCCUGCUGGACGACAACUGACGCUGAGGCGCGAAAGCGUGGGGAGCAAA